This 442-nucleotide ribosomal RNA is filed under the name uncultured bacterium. RNAcentral describes it as "partial 16S ribosomal RNA". It matches the Rfam family "Bacterial small subunit ribosomal RNA", at positions 338 to 795 of the family's 1533-position model. The record is from RNAcentral.
CCUACGGGAGGCAGCAGUGGGGAAUAUUGGGCAAUGGGCGGAACCCUGACCCAGCAACGCCGCGUGAAUGAAGAAGGCUUUCGGGUUGUAAACCUCUUUCAACAGGGAAGAGAAGAAUACCGUACCCUUUCAAUAAGCCACGGCUAACUACGUGCCAGCAGCCGCGGUAAGACGUAGGGGGCAAGCGUUUACCGGAUUUACUGGGUGUAAAGGGCGUGCAGGCGGGAAGACAAGUCAGAUGUGAAAUCCCGCGGGUCAACCGCGGGACUGCAUUUGAAACUGUUUUUCUUGAGUACCGGAGAGGUCAUCGGAAUUCCUAGUGUAGCGGUGAAAUGCGUAGAUAUAAGGAGGAACACCAGUGGCGAAGGCGGAUGACUGGACGGCAACUGACGGUGAGGCGCGAAAGCGUGGGGAGCAAACAGGAUUAGAUACCCCAGUAGUC